UGAUAUCACUCUGCAGUGUAGUCUAAACAAAGAGUUUCCGUUUUUUAAUCCGUCCAAAUUGGUGAUGUCUUGCUCAUGCGUAUCAUCCAUCUGGAAGAAAUGCCGGUAGAGACACCAAUUCCGGCGAUGGAUUAGAGGACAUCUAUUGAAGGGUUACUGUGAAAACCGUGCAGGCGUGUAUUUAGUCCCACAUCGAUUACUCGCUGGAUAGAUAUUGGGUACUUAUACAGAAUCAAAAAAAUCCAAAU
RNAcentral lists this long non-coding RNA (248 nucleotides) under Phoenix dactylifera (date palm). RNAcentral describes it as "long non-coding RNA (PDAC_LNC020425)". Lineage: Eukaryota; Viridiplantae; Streptophyta; Magnoliopsida; Arecales; Arecaceae. The record is from RNAcentral.